ACACUGACAGUGCCGCAACGGCCACCAGUGUGGAAAUUGUGAAUGGACCAACAACCACCACCGUGCCCCGACGAUAAUGUGACCGCCUCAGCCGCUGUGAGAGGCGGCACGCGCCACCCGGUGUACCGCGGAGUACGGAAACGGCGGUGGGGCAGGUGGGUGUCAGAAAUUAGGGAGCCACGGAAGAAAUCGAGGAUAUGGUUGGGGUCGUUCCCGGUGCCGGAGAUGGCGGCGAAGGCAUACGACGUUGCCGCGUACUGCCUCAAAGGGCGGAAGGCGCAGCUCAACUUUCCCGACGAGGUGGACCGACUGCCGGUUCCGGCUACCUGCACGGCCAGAGACAUUCAGGCGGCUGCGGCUAAGGCGGCGAGCAUGAUGUCGAAAGCCGCCGGUGAGAAAAGCAGCAUUGCGACCGACGGAGACAUCGGAGGCGGCGAUGAUUUCUGGGGUGAGAUUGAGUUGCCGGAGCUAAUGUGUUGCUGGAGUUCUCCGAGCGGGUCAUCGUGGAAUUCCUCCGGUGACACCACGGCGUGGCCGGAGGUUGAGCUUUUGCCGCUGCAACCCUUCAUGGCGUGUCUAUAAUCUGCUUGUUUUAAUGCUGCUCAGUGGUUGGUAAUUUGGUCUUAUGGUGUUGGUGUCAAGCUUGGUGCAUUCUUUUUCCGUUUUGCCGAGAGGUUUUGAGGUGCAAAUUGAUCACUUGGUAUUUAGGGGUUUUUGUUCUCUUGGUUUGCUGAAGAAUUCUUGCACGUUGUGGUUUAAGUGGAGGUACCAGAUUAGUAACUUACAUUGUUGCUCCUCUUGUUCUUUUCAUGGCCUAAAAAGCUUAGUAUUAUUGCCCAUGAAGCAUAGUAUUGUUGAUUAUUUCUGGGUGAAAGAGGUAUGGGGUGAUUGGAGGUGGGGGAGGAGAAGAAAUGAUGAAGAAGGACUAAAGUGACGGACGUUUGCCACUUUGGGGGACCACGAGCAGAAUAAAAUUCAUUCAGGGACGAAUGUGAAGUCGGUUGACACUUUCAAGGACCAAACUGACCAUUUACCCUUUUGUUCUUAAGCAUCUCAGUCUCAGGCACAUUAUAUAUACUUUAUUCUUUAAUAAAUAUUUCUUUUGGUAAGUCAUUUAAAAUGGUUAAGUGUCCAUAUAUAUUUUGUCUUUUUUUCUACUUCUUCUUUUCCAGCUUCCUUACCAAUAUUAUGUGUUUAUGGCUUUGAGUCCUCUAUAAUUGUGUAUAGGUUUUUUGGUUUACUAAUUGUGUAUAGGUUGCAACAAGUCUAACAAUUUAUUCUUCAACAUUCUUACUGAGGUUAUACAAAUGAAGUACAUGAUAUGGAUGUAAAAAAAAAAUUUCUCA
Molecule: RNA transcript, 1346 nt
Organism: Lotus japonicus
Lineage: Eukaryota; Viridiplantae; Streptophyta; Magnoliopsida; Fabales; Fabaceae
Gene name: ethylene-responsive transcription factor ERF023
Exons: 3
Source: RefSeq, a predicted model, not a curated record